Molecule: long non-coding RNA, 1396 nt
Organism: Oncorhynchus tshawytscha (Chinook salmon)
Lineage: Eukaryota; Metazoa; Chordata; Actinopteri; Salmoniformes; Salmonidae
Source: Ensembl
GAGAGGAGGAGGAGGGAGAACCAGUCUAGUAUAGAUACAUUAGAGAGGAGGAGGAGGGAGAACCAGUCUAGUAUAGCUACAUUAGAGAGGAGGAGGAGGGAGAACCAGUCUAGUAUAGCUACAUUAGAGAGGAGGAGGAGGGAGAACCAGUCUAGUAUAGCUACAUUAGAGAGGAGGAGGAGGGAGUACCAGUCUAGUACAGCUACAUUAAAGAGGAGGAGGAGGGAGAACCAGUCUAUGAUAGAUAUAUUAGAGAGGAGGAGGAGGGACAACCAGUCUAGUAUAGAUACAUUAUUGAGAAUAGGAGAAGGGAAAACCAGUAUAGUAUAGAUACAUUAGAGAGGAGGAUGGAAAACCAGUCUAGUACAGCUACAUUAGAGAGGCGGGGGAGAGAGAACCUGUCUAGUACAGCUCCAUUAAAGAUGAGCGAGAUCCAGUCUAGUAUAGCUACAUUAGAGAGGAGGAUGGAGAACCAGUCAUGUACAGCUAUAUUAGACAGGAGGAGAGAGAACCAGUCUAGUAUAGCUACAUUAGAGAGGAGGAGGGAGAACCAGUCUAGUACAGCUACAUUGAAGAGGAGGAGGAGUGAGAACCAGUCUAGUAUAGAUACAUUAGAGAAGAGGAGGAGGGAGAACCAGCCUAGUAUAGAUACAUUAGAGAGGAGGAGGAGGGAGAACCAGUCUAGUAUAGCUACAUUAGAGAGGAGGAGGGAGAACCAGUCUAUUAUAGAUACAUUAGAGAGGAGGAGGGAGGACCAUUCUUGUACAUCUACAUUAGAGAGGCAGAGGAGAGAGAACCAGUCUAGUACAGCUCCAUUAAAGAGGAGGGAGAACCAGUCUAGUAUAGCUACAUUAGAGUGGAGGAGGAGGGGGAACCAGUCUAUUAUAGAUACAUUAGAAAGGAGGAGGGAGGACCAUUCUUGUACAUCUACAUUAGAGAGCAGGUGGAGAGAGAACCAGUCUAGUACAGCUACAUUAGAGAGGAGGAGGGAGAACCAGUCUAGUAAUGCUACAUUAAAGAGGAGGAGGGAGUACCAGUCUAGUACAGCUAUUUUACAGAGGAGGAGGAGGAGGGAUAACCAGCCUAGUAUAGUUACAUUAGAGAGGAGGAGGAGGGAGAACCAGUCAAGCAUAUAUACAUUAGAGAGGAGGAGGAAAAACCAGUCUAGUACAGCUACACUUGAGAGGCGGAGGAGGGAGAACCAAUCUAGUACAGCUACAUUAAAGAGGAGGAGGAUGGAGAACCAGUCAUGUACACCUAUAUUAGAGAGGAGGAGGAGGGAGAACCAGUCUAGUACAGCUACAUUAGAGAGGAGGAGGGAGAACCAGUCUAGUAAUGCUACAUAAGAGAAGAAGAGGAGGGAGAACCAGUCUAGUACAGCUACAUAGGAGAGGAG